AAGGGGAAAAGCGAAGGCCGCCCGCCUAUCGGCGAAACGCGCUGGAGGGCCUGCGAGGAGGCUGUUGCCGCCGCAGCAGGACCGAAGCGUCGCGAGCCGAUGGCGGCCGGAGCUAGACAAUUCGAAAAGCGGAGGCGAGCGUUUUGCCGCGAUGGGCAAAUGUUCUUCGCCUAGAGGGAUGUUUACAUCCCGAAGGCGAAGGUUAUUUGGCCCCGAGCGGCGGCGAGCCGGAGCUAGACAGAAUUUCUUGACAAAACCUAUCAGUUUGAUUAUAAUGACGCUUGUCGUUUUGUUUAGUUUUGAGGGAACUUUCCCUCCAUGGGCCUAUAGCUCAGCUGGUCAGAGCGCACGCCUGAUAAGCGUGAGGUCGGUGGUUCAAGUCCACUUAGGCCCAUCGGUUGCGGGGCCUUAGCUCAGCUGGGAGAGCGCCUGCUUUGCACGCAGGAGGUCAUCGGUUCGAUCCCGAUAGGCUCCACCACUUUUCUUGAUUCGUUCCUUGAAAACUAGAUAACCGGAAAAGCGGAGGCGAGUGUUUCGCCGCGAUGGGCAAAUGUUCUUCGCCCGCAGGGGUGCUGGCACCCCGAGGGGGAAGGUUAUUUGACCCCGAGCGGCGGCGAGCCGACGCUAGACAAUAAGGAAGAAGCCGAGAGCGCUGUA
Molecule: transfer RNA, 657 nt
Filed under: Geobacillus stearothermophilus
Lineage: Bacteria; Bacillati; Bacillota; Bacilli; Caryophanales; Anoxybacillaceae
Description: 16S-23S ribosomal RNA intergenic spacer
Rfam family: tRNA (bases 321-394)
Source: RNAcentral